UUAAGCGACUAAGCGUACACGGUGGAUGCCCUGGCAGUCAGAGGCGAUGAAGGACGUGCUAAUCUGCGAUAAGCGUCGGUAAGGUGAUAUGAACCGUUAUAACCGGCGAUUUCCGAAUGGGGAAACCCAGUGUGAUUCGUCACACUAUCAUUAACUGAAUCCAUAGGUUAAUGAGGCGAACCGGGGGAACUGAAACAUCUAAGUACCCCGAGGAAAAGAAAUCAACCGAGAUUCCCCCAGUAGCGGCGAGCGAACGGGGAGCAGCCCAGAGCCUGAAUCAGUGUGUGUGUUAGUGGAAGCGUCUGGAAAGGCGCGCGAUACAGGGUGACAGCCCCGUACACAAAAAUGCACAUGCUGUGAGCUCGAUGAGUAGGGCGGGACACGUGGUAUCCUGUCUGAAUAUGGGGGGACCAUCCUCCAAGGCUAAAUACUCCUGACUGACCGAUAGUGAACCAGUACCGUGAGGGAAAGGCGAAAAGAACCCCGGCGAGGGGAGUGAAAAAGAACCUGAAACCGUGUACGUACAAGCAGUGGGAGCACGCUUAGGCGUGUGACUGCGUACCUUUUGUAUAAUGGGUCAGCGACUUAUAUUCUGUAGCAAGGUUAACCGAAUAGGGGAGCCGAAGGGAAACCGAGUCUUAACUGGGCGUUAAGUUGCAGGGUAUAGACCCGAAACCCGGUGAUCUAGCCAUGGGCAGGUUGAAGGUUGGGUAACACUAACUGGAGGACCGAACCGACUAAUGUUGAAAAAUUAGCGGAUGACUUGUGGCUGGGGGUGAAAGGCCAAUCAAACCGGGAGAUAGCUGGUUCUCCCCGAAAGCUAUUUAGGUAGCGCCUCGUGAAUUCAUCUCCGGGGGUAGAGCACUGUUUCGGCAAGGGGGUCAUCCCGACUUACCAACCCGAUGCAAACUGCGAAUACCGGAGAAUGUUAUCACGGGAGACACACGGCGGGUGCUAACGUCCGUCGUGAAGAGGGAAACAACCCAGACCGCCAGCUAAGGUCCCAAAGUCAUGGUUAAGUGGGAAACGAUGUGGGAAGGCCCAGACAGCCAGGAUGUUGGCUUAGAAGCAGCCAUCAUUUAAAGAAAGCGUAAUAGCUCACUGGUCGAGUCGGCCUGCGCGGAAGAUGUAACGGGGCUAAACCAUGCACCGAAGCUGCGGCAGCGACGCUUAUGCGUUGUUGGGUAGGGGAGCGUUCUGUAAGCCUGCGAAGGUGUGCUGUGAGGCAUGCUGGAGGUAUCAGAAGUGCGAAUGCUGACAUAAGUAACGAUAAAGCGGGUGAAAAGCCCGCUCGCCGGAAGACCAAGGGUUCCUGUCCAACGUUAAUCGGGGCAGGGUGAGUCGACCCCUAAGGCGAGGCCGAAAGGCGUAGUCGAUGGGAAACAGGUUAAUAUUCCUGUACUUGGUGUUACUGCGAAGGGGGGACGGAGAAGGCUAUGUUGGCCGGGCGACGGUUGUCCCGGUUUAAGCGUGUAGGCUGGUUUUCCAGGCAAAUCCGGAAAAUCAAGGCUGAGGCGUGAUGACGAGGCACUACGGUGCUGAAGCAACAAAUGCCCUGCUUCCAGGAAAAGCCUCUAAGCAUCAGGUAACAUCAAAUCGUACCCCAAACCGACACAGGUGGUCAGGUAGAGAAUACCAAGGCGCUUGAGAGAACUCGGGUGAAGGAACUAGGCAAAAUGGUGCCGUAACUUCGGGAGAAGGCACGCUGAUAUGUAGGUGAAGUCCCUCGCGGAUGGAGCUGAAAUCAGUCGAAGAUACCAGCUGGCUGCAACUGUUUAUUAAAAACACAGCACUGUGCAAACACGAAAGUGGACGUAUACGGUGUGACGCCUGCCCGGUGCCGGAAGGUUAAUUGAUGGGGUCAGCGCAAGCGAAGCUCUUGAUCGAAGCCCCGGUAAACGGCGGCCGUAACUAUAACGGUCCUAAGGUAGCGAAAUUCCUUGUCGGGUAAGUUCCGACCUGCACGAAUGGCGUAAUGAUGGCCAGGCUGUCUCCACCCGAGACUCAGUGAAAUUGAACUCGCUGUGAAGAUGCAGUGUACCCGCGGCAAGACGGAAAGACCCCGUGAACCUUUACUAUAGCUUGACACUGAACAUUGAGCCUUGAUGUGUAGGAUAGGUGGGAGGCUUUGAAGUGUGGACGCCAGUCUGCAUGGAGCCGACCUUGAAAUACCACCCUUUAAUGUUUGAUGUUCUAACGUUGACCCGUAAUCCGGGUUGCGGACAGUGUCUGGUGGGUAGUUUGACUGGGGCGGUCUCCUCCUAAAGAGUAACGGAGGAGCACGAAGGUUGGCUAAUCCUGGUCGGACAUCAGGAGGUUAGUGCAAUGGCAUAAGCCAGCUUGACUGCGAGCGUGACGGCGCGAGCAGGUGCGAAAGCAGGUCAUAGUGAUCCGGUGGUUCUGAAUGGAAGGGCCAUCGCUCAACGGAUAAAAGGUACUCCGGGGAUAACAGGCUGAUACCGCCCAAGAGUUCAUAUCGACGGCGGUGUUUGGCACCUCGAUGUCGGCUCAUCACAUCCUGGGGCUGAAGUAGGUCCCAAGGGUAUGGCUGUUCGCCAUUUAAAGUGGUACGCGAGCUGGGUUUAGAACGUCGUGAGACAGUUCGGUCCCUAUCUGCCGUGGGCGCUGGAGAACUGAGGGGGGCUGCUCCUAGUACGAGAGGACCGGAGUGGACGCAUCACUGGUGUUCGGGUUGUCAUGCCAAUGGCACUGCCCGGUAGCUAAAUGCGGAAGAGAUAAGUGCUGAAAGCAUCUAAGCACGAAACUUGCCCCGAGAUGAGUUCUCCCUGACCCUUUAAGGGUCCUGAAGGAACGUUGAAGACGACGACGUUGAUAGGCCGGGUGUGUAAGCGCAGCGAUGCGUUGAGCUAACCGGUACUAAUGAACCGUGAGGCUUAACCU
Molecule: ribosomal RNA, 2901 nt
Filed under: Escherichia coli
Lineage: Bacteria; Pseudomonadati; Pseudomonadota; Gammaproteobacteria; Enterobacterales; Enterobacteriaceae
Description: 23S ribosomal RNA
Rfam family: Bacterial large subunit ribosomal RNA
Source: RNAcentral